This 156-nucleotide ribosomal RNA is filed under the name Nicotiana attenuata. RNAcentral describes it as "rRNA 5_8S_rRNA". It matches the Rfam family "5.8S ribosomal RNA". From Rfam's summary of the family: 5.8S ribosomal RNA (5.8S rRNA) is a component of the large subunit of the eukaryotic ribosome. It is transcribed by RNA polymerase I as part of the 45S precursor that also contains 18S and 28S rRNA. The record is from RNAcentral. Lineage: Eukaryota; Viridiplantae; Streptophyta; Magnoliopsida; Solanales; Solanaceae.
GACUCUCGGCAACGGAUAUCUCAGCUCUCGCAUCGAUGAAGAACGUAGCGAAAUGCGAUACUUGGUGUGAAUUGCAAAUUCCCGUGAACCAUCGAGUCUUUGAACGCAAGUUGCGCCUGAAGCUAUUAGACCGAGGGUACGUCUGCCUAGGCGUCA